AAGAAAGUAAUAAAGGGCGUAUGGGGGAUGCCUAGGCUCUUGGAGGCGAAGAAAGACGUGGUAAGCUGCGAUAAGCCUCGGGGAUUUGCAAACGAGAAUUGAUCCGAGGAUUUCUGAAUGGGACAACCCGGCAGGCAGAAGGCCUGUCACACGA
This 154-nucleotide ribosomal RNA is filed under the name Proteus mirabilis. Its description in RNAcentral is "partial 23S ribosomal RNA". It matches the Rfam family "Bacterial large subunit ribosomal RNA", at positions 1 to 155 of the family's 2925-position model. Lineage: Bacteria; Pseudomonadati; Pseudomonadota; Gammaproteobacteria; Enterobacterales; Morganellaceae. The record is from RNAcentral.